GGGCACUUUGCUUUCUCCUCUUGUUGUAUUAUUAUUAUAAAUAUUAUUACUUUGAAUAGGUGAUAGCCACGUGGCUACGAUAUAAAAUGACAUUCAGUAGAAAAGAAGAAAAGGUAUUAAAUACCCUUGGACACCACCCUGUCAUCACAUGCCCUGCUCCCCACCUUCCCUCUGAGCUGGAAACUACUUUUAACUGGUUUCUUGUCUUUCCAGAGAUUCUAGACGCAGAAAGCCGGUGCGAGUGUAGUGUCUUCUUAGGGGGCAAUUUCUAAGACAGAGCACCUGCACCACCUCCCCCUCAGCCCUGCCAGGACGCCGAUGCUGCUCUUCUGACCGGAUCCGAAUCCUGCCAUCCCUCCCCCGGGGCAGCGCUCAGCGGGGCAGUGUGACAGCUGGAGAGGGAUCUGUAACAGCCUGCGGAGUUUACUGAGCUUCAGAGGGAAAGGCCUUGUCCAGAUGGCCUGCCCUAAAAGCCCAGAGGCAGCAACAUCAACCGUUCAGAGACAAGUCCAUUAGGGUCUCCCAGCCACAAGGCAAACGGAUGCUAGCAACCAAGUCGUGCUACUCACCCGUCCCUAAACAAACGCCUUCAGCAAAACCUGUUACAGAAAUCACUGAACAAACAUGCGGCGGUGCCCUCAGCUCAUCGCAAAGGCCCAGAGCUGCAGAAAGCGUUCCAGGCUGGCCGCAGAAGCAGAAGAAAACACGCUGCCUGGGGUGACCAGGCCAGGUGAGCUCCUAGCAACCUCCCCGGGCCACGAGAGCACCUUUAUUGACCUUCCCCAGGAAAGGGCCACUCUCCGCGCUGACCUGCGGCCGAGCUGUCACACUUAGGCACCUCUGUCCUUGUUCCCCAAGGGCUGUGACCAUCAGAACCCAAAGCAGAGGGAGCCACCUCACCCUGGCUGACUCGCCGGGACGACGGUCAUGGCUGACGCUGGCCCCAGGAGCCUCUCUGGGGAGCAGCAGGUGGCUCCCGGGGCCCCAGCUCCCCCCGGCCAACUGCCUCUCACUGUCAGCCUCUGAACUGAGUCCAAGAGAAGGCUGCCCUCAGCCACGUUUUAUUUGUGGCCUCAUCAGGGUUAAAAGGAGUUUCUAUUCUAAACCAAUUUACACUCAAAUUGUUGCAAAGGCAAACAGUUCCAGAAAACGAACCAUAUUUGGCCUGAGUGACUCUGAAAAGUUUGAGCAGAAUCAGUGUAGGAACAGCUCUCUGCACCAGGACAAGUUCCCAAGACACACACCCACCAGGUGAAGGGCAGAGGAAGGCAGAGAGGAGCGCUGGACCAGCUGUGAUCCGGCCACCAGACUUGCCGUGUCCCCACUCAGCUGUACCCGGGAUGCCCUGACCCGCGCCCAGAAGCCAGGCCACACCCAGGAGGGGAGCCGGCUCAGCCUGCGAGGAGGCCCAGCCCCUGCGGCGUGCCCUCCCCUGGGGCGUCAGAACUGCCGGGGCCUGUGGCUCCUGAAGCAGCCAGCGACAACAGAACAGACUGGAGAAAGGUCCAACUACCCAACAAGAGACUAACCUCUAAGGAAUCCAACCUAGUUGAUCGAAAACCUGGUUCCUGUCACCACCACUCUCCCAGACCCCAGCCUCGCAUCUUGGAGCCGGCAUGGACCUCAGCACCAUGCUCCCAACCCGGACCAAAAGGUGACACGGGGGGCGAAGGAGCUCUACAGACACACAAGGGGAGACAAUGGUGUGGGGCACGAAAGCAGCCGUCACAGGAACAGACCAGAGUGACCCUUCCCUGAUGGCAUGGAGGCCGGGAACGACACUUCAGAGGGACGUUCGGCGCAGGGGUCCGGCUUGAACAACGGGGCAUCCGCCCCCAGGCCUGGCACUCCACCACAGAGGCCAAGCCUGGCCCGGCCACUUGGACAACGAAAACGCUCUCAAACCUGAUUUCACAGCUGAUCUUCGCUCUAAUUGGGAGGACGUGAGGCAGGUGGGGAGCCCCUAGUCACAACGGUCAUUCACUCAAAACCCACUUGCUUGGCCAUUUCCCCAGCUGCCCCUCAGAAGGGAGUCCCUUGUGGAGGGAGGGGGGGCUGUUAAAGAGAGGGCUGCGAGUGGCUCCCAAGAGAAGCAGCAGGAUUCUAACUGCUACGUAUCCCUGAGCUGCCGGCCACGGUCCAGCCGCCGCCAUGCCUUUCCUCACCCGGGGUAGGGUCCCCGGGAACAAGCGGGUCAGCACCAGCCAGGCUGGGAACAGCUCUGGGCCACAGCCAUUUUUUUCCAACAAGUUUAAAGUCUCCCUUUUGACCUGUUCUCUUAGAGAAAGCACCGGAGUCAGGGCCUGCCGAGCUCAGGGGAUCCAGGAGAGCCAGCAGCCAGGGGGAGCUGAGAGAAAGGGGAGCUGAGAGAAAGAGCCCCUAAAACAAACACCAAAGCUCCAAUGAGAUUGCCAAGAACUCGGCCGCUUGAAGAGGCAGCCGUAGCACAGCCCCAGGCUGCAGAGGACCUCGUGGGGUCUUACCUGUGUGGAGUCCGUGACAGAGGCCAGCUGCAGGUACUCGGAGUUCCCCCACCCGAAGAGGCUGCCAUCGACCGACACAGCCAGGCAGCAGUCCCCGUAGGUGGCCACCUGGACAACGUUCACUCCGGCAAGGUCUCCAGCCAGCUUGGUGGGUGCGCUGGUGAUAUUGUAGUGACCCAGACCUGGAACAAUGGAAAACUGUGUUACUUA
Non-coding RNA from Delphinapterus leucas (beluga whale), 2693 nucleotides. Lineage: Eukaryota; Metazoa; Chordata; Mammalia; Artiodactyla; Monodontidae. The record is from RefSeq and is a predicted model, not a curated record.